This 1249-nucleotide long non-coding RNA is filed under the name Oryza brachyantha (malo sina). Its description in RNAcentral is "long non-coding RNA (OBRA_LNC003015)". The record is from RNAcentral. Lineage: Eukaryota; Viridiplantae; Streptophyta; Magnoliopsida; Poales; Poaceae.
AUUUAUAUGGAAUAUUAUACGUUGAGAAAUACGUACACGUGGUAUAUAUAUAUAUAUAUAUAAUUAAGAACUAUAUAUACAAAAUGUUGGAUGCGUUGCAUCACGAAGCAUGACUCUAGAGGAGGAAGGCUGAUCACAACGGCAAGGCCCAGCUACGGGUGGCCCAUUAAUUAGUCUAUCUCUAAUUCUUUUGAGGCUCGACGAAGAACAUGCAUUGCAUAGACCAUCGGUUUCUUUCUUCUCUGAUUGUUCUUUUCAGACGAGAAUAUCCUGCCUAAUUAAUCUCUGAUAAAUGAAAAUAAGUAAUGGUUUAUUCAUCGAAGCAACCGUAUAUAUGUAAGCACCUUAAUUACUUGGCUCUGGAUAAUCGUAUUCAUAUAUCAAUGCUGGCAUUUGUUACAUGUGUAGAUAAAAAGUCUCGAUAGUCCAGCCGCUAACUAUAUACGUUACCUUUAUAUCUGUGGUACAUUAUCUAUAUUAUUCUAAAAGAAGAUAAUAGUGGUGACAACGAAUAUACUCUUCCACCAAUUAUAUUAUUUUAAAAUAGUACUAUAUAUUGGUUAUAUUUUUUAACUGUAAAAAACCAGUUCCAAACAAUACCAGUAUGCAUAUAAUUCAUAUUUAUAUAUAGUAAAGCAUGGUAUUUAGUUAGUAUACUACAGGAAUACAGGAGAAGUAGUAACACAUACUUUCAAUCUGACGAAAUUAUUGGCAAGUUGCAACCGGUUCGGUUAAUCGGAUCGAUGUGCCUAUCUGAUGUCGUCGCGAGAGGCCAAAAACUAUAUUGUUAUAAUAUAUUCUUCUCGCCGACACCGAAGCUGAUAGAGGCGGCCGCGCCAUUGGAGCCGACGCCGCCGCUCUCAGCCUUCUUCUCCGGCAAAGCGUGGAACCCCUCGGAUUUCUCCUCUUUUCCUUCGAGUUUCUCCUUGCGCGGGCGGCAUUUCGCCGAUGCGAGGGGAACGGUGGCGGCGACGGCGAGGAGGAGGACGAUGGCGACGGCGAGCUGCGCCCUCGUCGCGAUCCUUGGAGACGACAUGGUUUGGAUUGGGUGGUGUUUGAAGAUUUUCAAGGGAGGAAGAAAGAGAGGAGGGGUAUUUGAAUAGGGAGGGAAAGAAGAUGAGGUGGCCGUAUUUGGCGGGAAAUGAGAGGUCAGGUUGCUCCCAAACGUUUUUCCGGGGAAAAAAAAGGGGGGCAAUGAUGGCUGGUGGAGAGGAAAUUGAUAUUUACACCAUGAAACCGAGCAGACUCG